GCGACCUACGAGUGCCCCAAGGGAUAUGUUGUCAAUACUACUUCUACUACUACUACUACCCCGACUACUGAUACUACUUUUACUACUACUACUACUAUUUCUACCGCUGCUACUACCGCUGCCCUGCUGACCUGUAGUAGUAAUGGGACUUGGUCUGGUCCUGUUCCUGCUUGCUCUUAUGUGGACUGUGGACUACCGGAGAAGAUAGUCAGCGGGUACUAUCGCCUCUUAAGUAACACCACACACUUCGGCUCGCAAGUGGCGUACGAGUGUUUCCCUAACUACAAGGUCCAAGGGAGGAUUAGGAGACACUGCCUAGCCAAUGGUACCUGGGCUGGUGACUCUCCGCUGUGUGAAG
Molecule: long non-coding RNA, 358 nt
Organism: Eriocheir sinensis (Chinese mitten crab)
Lineage: Eukaryota; Metazoa; Arthropoda; Malacostraca; Decapoda; Varunidae
Exons: 3
Source: RefSeq, a predicted model, not a curated record